Molecule: unclassified non-coding RNA, 225 nt
Filed under: plant metagenome
Description: partial contains small subunit ribosomal RNA, internal transcribed spacer 1, and 5.8S ribosomal RNA
Source: RNAcentral
UUUCCGUAGGUGAACCUGCGGAAGGAUCAUUAGUGAAUUGAAUAUGUUAGCGGACCUCUUAGGAGUCCCUAGCAUCAAAUCAUAUCCAUAACACCUGUGAACUGUAAUGCUGUUUUGAAAACGAAAGUGAUUAGAGCGCCUGCCCAUUUUAUACAAACAUUAAAGUAACACACGUAGUCUUAUUAUAAGCUAAUAAAACUUUCAACAACGGAUCUCUUGGCUCUC